This 126-nucleotide microRNA precursor is filed under the name Myotis lucifugus (little brown bat). RNAcentral's name for it is "mir-9193 microRNA precursor family". It matches the Rfam family "mir-9193 microRNA precursor family". Lineage: Eukaryota; Metazoa; Chordata; Mammalia; Chiroptera; Vespertilionidae. The record is from Rfam by way of RNAcentral.
CAUGCACCGGUGGGGUCCCUUGGCCUGGCCUGCACCCUCUUUCAAUCCAGGACCCUUGGGGGAUGUCAGAGAGCCAGUUUCAGCCUGAUCCCCGCAGGCCAGGCUGAGGGACCCCACCGGUGCAUG